This 69-nucleotide transfer RNA is filed under the name Sceloporus woodi. RNAcentral's name for it is "tRNA-Trp". It matches the Rfam family "tRNA". Rfam says of the family: Transfer RNA (tRNA) molecules are approximately 80 nucleotides in length. Lineage: Eukaryota; Metazoa; Chordata; Lepidosauria; Squamata; Phrynosomatidae. The record is from RNAcentral.
AGAAGCUUAGGAUAAUAUAAACCUAGGGCCUUCAAAGCCCUAAACAGGGUUGCAACCCCCUAGCCUCUG